RNAcentral lists this transfer RNA (80 nucleotides) under Pseudomonadota bacterium. RNAcentral describes it as "tRNA-Leu". It matches the Rfam family "tRNA". Rfam says of the family: Transfer RNA (tRNA) molecules are approximately 80 nucleotides in length. The record is from RNAcentral. Lineage: Bacteria; Pseudomonadati; Pseudomonadota.
GGGCAGGUGGCGGAAUUGGCAGACGCGCGUGGCUUAGGACCACGUGGGAAACCGUGGGGGUUCGACUCCCCCCCUGCCCA